CGGCCCCUGGAACAAGACUGACGCUCAGGUGCGAAAGCGUGGGAAGCAAACAGGAUUAGAUACCCUGGUAGUCACGCUGUAAACGAUGUCGAUUUGGAGGUUGUCCCUUGAGGAGUGGCUUCCGGAGCUAACGCGUUAAAUCGACCGCCUGGGGAGUACGGCCGCAAGGUUAAAACUCAAAUGAAUUGACGGGGGCCCGCACAAGCGGUGGAGCAUGUGGUUUAAUUCGAUGCAACGCGAAGAACCUUACCUACUCUUGACAUCCAGAGAAUUUAGCAGAGAUGCUUUAGUGCCUUCGGGAACUCUGAGACAGGUGCUGCAUGGCUGUCGUCAGCUCGUGUUGUGAAAUGUUGGGUUAAGUCCCGCAACGAGCGCAACCCUUAUCCUUUGUUGCCAGCACAUUAUGGUGGGAACUCAAAGGAGACUGCCGGUGAUAAACCGGAGGAAGGUGGGGAUGACGUCAAGUCAUCAUGGCCCUUACGAGUAGGGCUACACACGUGCUACAAUGGCGUAUACAAAGAGAAGCGACCUCGCGAGAGCAAGCGGAACUCAUAAAGUACGUCGUAGUCCGGAUUGGAGUCUGCAACUCGACUCCAUGAAGUCGGAAUCGCUAGUAAUCGUAGAUCAGAAUGCUACGGUGAAUACGUUCCCGGGCCUUGUACACACCGCCCGUCACACCAUGGGAGUGGGUUGCAAAAGAAGUAGGUAGCUUAACCUUCGGGAGGGCGCUUACCACUUUGUGAUUCAUGACUGGGGUGAAGUCGUAACAAGGUAACCA
RNAcentral lists this ribosomal RNA (778 nucleotides) under uncultured Enterobacteriaceae bacterium. RNAcentral describes it as "bacterial SSU rRNA". It matches the Rfam family "Bacterial small subunit ribosomal RNA", at positions 723 to 1502 of the family's 1533-position model. Lineage: Bacteria; Pseudomonadati; Pseudomonadota; Gammaproteobacteria; Enterobacterales; Enterobacteriaceae. The record is from RNAcentral.